AAGUCGUAACAAGGUUUCCGUAGGUGAACCUGCGGAAGGAUCAUUAACACGUAUCCAACGUUAAACCCCCCGUGAACCUUCAGUGCGUUCAUGCAAAGGUGACGAGGGGGGCUCGCGCCCAGUGACCCGGUCGCCGGCCGUGUCGGCCUCUAGCGAUCGUGACUGCGCCAUUCGUACAGAGCUGGUGACACUUUCAGACACCAACAAGCAGAGGAAUGCCAGGCCACUUGCCUCACGCUCAAGCACAGUCUACGCAGAAGUCCCUGAAUCAAAACUGUUCGGCAAUGAUUUACCAGGGAUUGCUACCUUUGAAAACGGGCCUGCGCUUAAUUGUGCGGCCACCAAACUCGAACAACUGUUAACAAUGGAUAUCUUGGUUCUC
RNAcentral lists this unclassified non-coding RNA (382 nucleotides) under fungal sp. RNAcentral's name for it is "partial internal transcribed spacer region". The stretch from base 1 to 46 matches the Rfam family "Eukaryotic small subunit ribosomal RNA", at positions 1786 to 1831 of the family's 1831-position model. Lineage: Eukaryota; Fungi. The record is from RNAcentral.